RNAcentral lists this ribosomal RNA (186 nucleotides) under uncultured bacterium. Its description in RNAcentral is "partial 16S ribosomal RNA". It matches the Rfam family "Bacterial small subunit ribosomal RNA", at positions 322 to 509 of the family's 1533-position model. The record is from RNAcentral.
AGAUACGUCCUACCGGGAGGGCAGCAGUGAGGAAUAUUGGUCAAUGGGCGGAAGCCUGAAACCAGCCAAGUCGCGUGAGGGAAGAAGGCCCUGCGGGUCGCAGACCUCUUUGGACGGGAAGCAAGGCCGCGGACGUGUCCGCGGAAGGAGAGUACCCGUAGAACAAGCAUCGGCUAACUCCGUGCC